Molecule: long non-coding RNA, 229 nt
Filed under: Elaeis guineensis (African oil palm)
Lineage: Eukaryota; Viridiplantae; Streptophyta; Magnoliopsida; Arecales; Arecaceae
Description: long non-coding RNA (EGUI_LNC002992)
Source: RNAcentral
UUGUAUCUGAGCUUGAGUUGACUCGAGAUGAAGAAGUUCGAGUCGACUCCUUCUCGAGUCGACUUGAAUAGAAAUCUUGAGUCGACUCCAGGUCGGGACCAUAUCUUUUUCACUUUCCCUUCUUUUCUAUUUAUCCUAGAGCAGUGCGAUAGAUCUCUUUUGACUCUUAUGGAGCCCUCCACCUAUCCCAUUUUGUUAAUUCAAAUAUGAUUUCAUGCGCAAUGGGACC